Molecule: RNA transcript, 3388 nt
Organism: Oncorhynchus nerka (sockeye salmon)
Lineage: Eukaryota; Metazoa; Chordata; Actinopteri; Salmoniformes; Salmonidae
Gene: dazl
Gene name: deleted in azoospermia-like
Exons: 10
Source: RefSeq, a predicted model, not a curated record
CCUGCACAUUUGUGAGCUAUAAUUUUUAUGAAGUUUUUUAAAACUUUUUUAAUUUUUUAAACACCACAAACUCAUGUCGGGGAAAGAAAAAGGUGAAACUAAUCUAGGCCUGUUCUGAUACAAACCUUAAGACAUUUAGCCUCUGGGGAUGCCUUGCUUGACCACACCCUCCUUCCUUGCUCCUGGCCUGGCCUGCCCUGCCCUGCCUCUUCCACCAAUCCAUUUGUUUCUUAUGGACAGAAAAGAGCAGAAGCGCUGAGUUGUUCGAUCAGGUCCAUUGUUGUUUACUGGCUGCAGUCGAACCCUUCUCUGCAUGCCACUCUACCUGCUAUGCAUGAGCAAUACCAAUAUGUGGCAGCUCGAUUUAUCCUCAUCUGACUGAUUUAUAUUUAAUCAAAUAUGGAAUUGAUUGCCAUUUCUGUUUUUUUUUUAUAAUGAAGCUGAAGCUGGAUGGAUACGUAUACUUUUACUUUCCACACAUUUUAAACAGCUACAAACUUGAUCUUUGUGAAACUUACCUCAUAUCGCAUCUCAUAACAGAAACACUUCUCAUUUUUGUAUCACACCAUUGAUUCACAUCUGGGAGGGGGUUGUAAACUAGGUUCUCGAUAUCAGACGUUGUUAUUUAUCAAUAAAAGUGUAUACCAUUAAAUACUGUAAAUCUUUAAAAUAUAGCCAACUGUUUUUAGCAAAGUUGGAACUAAAUUACCCGUAUAAACCAUUAUAGAUCAUAAAAACAUUCGGAAAAACACCCCUUGUCUACGUUUUGAAACAUCCCAAUUAGGUUCAGCAAGUGAGUUGGGCGUGACUUUUUGACAGUCAUUAGUUUCAACUUUUUUUUUCGUGCACUUGAAGCGGGGAAAGUUUGCGCGGCAGCGUGUUUAAUUUAUUCUGUUUUAACGGUUUUAGAAAUGGAUAUUCAGAAACAGAGAGAUGGAUUUCAGACAUCCCUAAAUUUGAAGCUGUCAAAUGGUUAUAUUUUACCUGAAGGUAGAAUGACACCAAACACACUUUUUGUUGGAGGAAUCGACAUGAAGGUGGAUGAGAAUGAAAUCCGGGACUUCUUUGCGAGAUUUGGUGCAGUGAAGGAAGUGAAAAUCAUCACUUACCGCGGCGGCAUCUGUAAAGGGUAUGGAUUUGUUUACUUCAAUGAAGAUGUCGACAUCCAAACCAUCGUUGACCAACAGAUAAGUUUUAAAGGGCGGAAACUGAAGCUGGGUCCAGCAAUCAUGAAGGAAAGGAGCUCACGUUCCAUGCCGUCUCACCUGGUUGGUCAGGUCCCCUGGAUGAGCCCCUCCCAGUACAUCUACUGCACCUGCUGCUCUCCUGUGGGCGUGGCUCAGCCCUCACCUAUAGUCAACGGGGGCAAUCCCUACAUCCAGCCUUACUCGUAUAACGGCCUUCAAGGAGUCAUGAUGCCACAGAUGCCCAUGAGCUACUCACAAACCGCCUACGCGUACCAGUACGCCUCACCACACUGGACCGGGGAGCAGAGGACACGGCUUGUCAACCAGCCGGCUCAUUAUUUGAUGUGAUGUGGUGCACCGUUUCCAGAACUUUGUGGACUGUGGAGUCCAGACUCUGCUGACUCUGCUGUAGCCCACUGACCCUCCUGUACCAGGGGGUGAUGUGUGCCAGUCUGCACUGCGACAAGAUGACAUCCUGGCCUUUGGAGUGCUAGAAGCAACAAACUUAAACUAUACAUUACCAGGAUGCUUUCUCUCCCUGACAUCCCUCCCUCGCUCGCUUUGAGACCCAUUUUAACACACCGACCGUGGCGGCUCAACACUUGCACCUGAUGGGCGUGGUCACUGACUGUGCUCCAUGAUUGGCUUGGCUAGAACCACGAUCCUGGGGUUUGGACCGCUUUUAAACCACCUCAACCACUGUCACGCAGGGAAGAGAGGAAGUAAUUUUGGUGCCUCUGCAUUUUCAUAACACAAGGCAAUGUGUGGUGUCACUUUUUCUUUUUUCUUCUUUUUUUUUAGUUUGUGGUUUUUGUUGGGUUUUUUGAUUGUCCCAAACCAAAAGACUUUUACGCUCACCUGUGCAUAUUUAUAUUUUAUUUUGUACUAUUUAUGUUGAAAUUAUUUUAAUGUCGGUUUGUUUGGGUUUAAGCUUUUAGCGGGCCUCUCUGUACAUAGAUUUGUAAUACAGUAAAUUCAUCUUUAGAAUAGUGAGAUCGAUUAACUUUCCCUUUAUUAAUUCACGUUCCAUCCCCAUACUGCUUCAAUUUAAGAUAAACUAGUGCUUGAAUUAUUAUGAGGGCAGCAUUGGGCACAACACUAACACAUAUUUCAGUUACUAUUUUUUUUGUUCCUGUCUUAAUAAGCUACUUUAGUCACCAUUUUGUUUUUCAUCACUGUAUUCCAAGUGCCUGCCUGCUUUUCUGUUAUGAGGGGUUUAUUUAGAAUUGGGAUGCACUGGUAUCUCGAGUGUUGCUGUUUCCAAAGUUAUGGAUCCUUUUAUUGUGGCACUGGUCAAUGUUUCUUAGGUUAUGUCCCAAAUGGCACCCUGUUCCCUAUUUAGUGCACUACUUUUGACUAGGGUUCUGAUCAAAAGUAGUGAACUAUAUAGGGUGCCAUUUGGGGAGUUGACUUGGACUGUUCCAGCUCUUCCAAGAGAAAAAUCACUGCGUCAAUUUCCCAUGAAGGUGUUGAUAAACUACUUUUAUAAUGCAGCCUGGGUCGGGAAAUCUUUUUUAAAAUUUUAAUUCACUCAAAUUAAGGACAUAACUAAAAGCAAUGUGUUCCAUCACUACAGUUUGAAGUUCACUUUAUUGAGAGAAAUUGUUGCACUGAUUUUAUUGUGUGUUUAAGAAGAGGGUUUUUUCCCGAGAUGGUGUCAUUUUGAUUUCAUGAAUGAAAAACCCUGAUGUAAUCACGUUUCAGGCCAAUGGGUUAAAUGGGAUAACAUUUGGAUACAUCGGGUCAUGGGUGGGAUUUCAUAUCCGUAACAUCCAGCGGUUUUCCCAGGUGUAUGUGGACCUAAGGUUUUGCCUGCCCUGGAUAACCUCUUCUAAAUGUACCCUCGGCAUGCAUAGUUGUACCUUGUCAUGGAUCUCUUGGUUUAGUUUUCUUUGUCAAUUCUCCUGCUAUGACCCAUGCUAUUCGGUACCCAAAUUUGUUUAAAAUGGCAUCCUAUUGCUUAUAGUGCACUACUUCUCUGGUCGAAAGUAACAUUUGGGAUGUAACCUAGCCAUUGAUCUUAAAGGAAUCUAAUCAUGUUGAUGGGAAUAUGAUGGUUAGAGCUUUUCUAGAUCACUGUACUGGUUUAAGUUGGGUUCUUGUUGAGGUGUUCUUGUUGAGGUGUUCAUGUUAACAAUUUAAGGUUUGGAUUUUGUUUAAAAAAAAAAGAUAUCUACAAAUAAAUUUGAAUGAAGUAAUCA